Dicentrarchus labrax (European seabass) is the source of this 246-nucleotide long non-coding RNA. RefSeq lists it as uncharacterized. The transcript is spliced from 3 exons. Lineage: Eukaryota; Metazoa; Chordata; Actinopteri; Moronidae. The record is from RefSeq and is a predicted model, not a curated record.
UGAGCACCAGCGCCCAGAGGGUGGUGCUUCGAUCUCAGUACAAACAGCCACAUACCGAGCUGACAAUGGUGGACAGUGUUCCUAUGGAGGUCGUCCGGGUCUCUUUGUUCUUUAAGCAAAAGCUGACAGUGGUGAUGAUCGAUAUGUCCAUGGCCUGUACAGUCAAUUCAGGUUCUUUUGACGGUGCCCGGUUGCUCUGGGAUGUCCCCUGGGUUGUGACCCCCUUGGUCAGAGAGGAGGCAGGGU